GGACGGGGGAGUAACACGUGGGUAACCUGCCCUUAAGUGGGGGAUAACAUUUGGAAACAGAUGCUAAUACCGCAUAGAUCCAAGAACCGCAUGGUUCUUGGCUGAAAGAUGGCGUAAGCUAUCGCUUUUGGAUGGACCCGCGGCGUAUUAGCUAGUUGGUGAGGUAAUGGCUCACCAAGGCGAUGAUACGUAGCCGAACUGAGAGGUUGAUCGGCCACAUUGGGACUGAGACACGGCCCAAACUCCUACGGGAGGCAGCAGUAGGGAAUCUUCCACAAUGGACGCAAGUCUGAUGGAGCAACGCCGCGUGAGUGAAGAAGGCUUUCGGGUCGUAAAACUCUGUUGUUGGAGAAGAAUGGUCGGCAGAGUAACUGUUGUCGGCGUGACGGUAUCCAACCAGAAAGCCACGGCUAACUACGUGCCAGCAGCCGCGGUAAUACGUAGGUGGCAAGCGUUAUCCGGAUUUAUUGGGCGUAAAGCGAGCGCAGGCGGUUUUUUAAGUCUGAUGUGAAAGCCCUCGGCUUAACCGAGGAAGCGCAUCGGAAACUGGGAAACUUGAGUGCAGAAGAGGACAGUGGAACUCCAUGUGUAGCGGUGAAAUGCGUAGAUAUAUGGAAGAACACCAGUGGCGAAGGCGGCUGUCUGGUCUGUAACUGACGCUGAGGCUCGAAAGCAUGGGUAGCGAACAGGAUUAGAUACCCUGGUAGUCCAUGCCGUAAACGAUGAAUGCUAGGUGUUGGAGGGUUUCCGCCCUUCAGUGCCGCAGCUAACGCAUUAAGCAUUCCGCCUGGGGAGUACGACCGCAAGGUUGAAACUCAAAGGAAU
This 825-nucleotide ribosomal RNA is filed under the name uncultured bacterium. RNAcentral's name for it is "bacterial SSU rRNA". It matches the Rfam family "Bacterial small subunit ribosomal RNA", at positions 100 to 910 of the family's 1533-position model. The record is from RNAcentral.